AUUGAACGCUGGCGGCAUGAUUUACACAUGCAAGUCGAACGGUAACAGGCCGCAAGGUGCUGCCGAGUGACGAACGGGUGAGUAAUGCAUCGGAACGUGCCCCGUCGUGGGGGAUAACUACUCGAAAGAGUAGCUAAUACCGCAUACGAUCUAUGGAUGAAAGCGGGGGACCGUAAGGCCUCGCGCGAUUGGAGCGGCCGAUGUCAGAUUAGGUAGUUGGUGGGGUAAAGGCUCACCAAGCCAACGAUCUGUAGCUGGUCUGAGAGGACGACCAGCCACACUGGGACUGAGACACGGCCCAGACUCCUACGGGAGGCAGCAGUGGGGAAUUUUGGACAAUGGGCGCAAGCCUGAUCCAGCAAUGCCGCGUGCAGGAAGAAGGCCUUCGGGUUGUAAACUGCUUUUGUACGGAACGAAACGGCUCUGGUUAAUACCCGGGGCUAAUGACGGUACCGUAAGAAUAAGCACCGGCUAACUACGUG
RNAcentral lists this ribosomal RNA (482 nucleotides) under uncultured bacterium. Its description in RNAcentral is "partial 16S ribosomal RNA". It matches the Rfam family "Bacterial small subunit ribosomal RNA", at positions 30 to 507 of the family's 1533-position model. The record is from RNAcentral.